This 272-nucleotide ribosomal RNA is filed under the name uncultured bacterium. RNAcentral describes it as "partial 16S ribosomal RNA". It matches the Rfam family "Bacterial small subunit ribosomal RNA", at positions 1136 to 1407 of the family's 1533-position model. The record is from RNAcentral.
CGGCCGCGUCGACCUGCCAUCGUAAGAUGCGAGGAAGGUGGGGAUGACGUCAAAUCAGCACGGCCCUUACGUCCGGGGCUACACACGUGUUACAAUGGGGAGUACAGAGGGCAGCUACCGGGCGACCGGAUGCGAAUCCCGAAAGCUCCUCUCAGUUCGGACUGGAGUCUGCAACCCGACUCCACGAAGCUGGAUUCGCUAGUAAUCGCGCAUCAGCCACGGCGCGGUGAAUACGUUCCCGGGCCUUGUACACACCGCCGUCGACGCGGCCG